AUGAAAAUUGUGUUUCCGUCAAGUAGAAAAUUUCUUCUAAACAAACAAAACAUUUCCAUAGAAAGAAUCAUUAUCAUGAGUAAACUUGCUUCAAACAAUAUACUUCCAUAUGAAUGUGCUCAAUUUUUUUUCAAACAAAUAUGCUUCUUUGAGAAACAAUUUACAUCGAAUCGUUCCUUACAAAUUGGAUAUUCUCCCACUAGUUUCCUUACUUGCUUCUGUACGGGAUGUGACAAUGCGGCCCCUCAAGCUGGCCAUUGGUGCUACAUGCUUCCUACUAGCUUCAUGUUCGUUCACUUUCGUGAACAUUUACAAGCAGGCAUGUCAUUUCCUGUUUCCAAGCAAAAAAUACCUACUACUUGCUACAUGUUUGCUCCGUGA
RNAcentral lists this ribosomal RNA (381 nucleotides) under Triticum aestivum (bread wheat). Its description in RNAcentral is "partial small subunit ribosomal RNA". Lineage: Eukaryota; Viridiplantae; Streptophyta; Magnoliopsida; Poales; Poaceae. The record is from RNAcentral.